RNAcentral lists this ribosomal RNA (497 nucleotides) under uncultured bacterium. RNAcentral describes it as "partial 16S ribosomal RNA". It matches the Rfam family "Bacterial small subunit ribosomal RNA", at positions 28 to 507 of the family's 1533-position model. The record is from RNAcentral.
GAUGAACGCUGGCGGCGUGCCUAAUACAUGCAAGUCGAGCGAACGGACGAGAAGCUUGCUUCUCUGAUGUUAGCCGCGGACGGGUGAGUAACACGUGGAUAACCUACCUAUAAGACUGGGAUAACUUCGGGAAACCGGAGCUAAUACCGGAUAAUAUUUUGAACCGCAUGGUUCAAAAGUGAAAGACGGUCUUGCUGUCACUUAUAGAUGGAUCCGCGCUGCAUUAGCUAGUUGGUAAGGUAACGGCUUACCAAGGCAACGAUGCAUAGCCGACCUGAGAGGGUGUUCGGCCACACUGGAACUGAGACACGGUCCAGACUCCUACGGGAGGCAGCAGUAGGGAAUCUUCCGCAAUGGGCGAAAGCCUGACGGAGCAACGCCGCGUGAGUGAUGAAGGUCUUCGGAUCGUAAAACUCUGUUAUUAGGGAAGAACAUAUGUGUAAGUAACUGUGCACAUCUUGACGGUACCUAAUCAGAAAGCCACGGCUAACUACGUG